UUUCCGUAGGUGAACCUGCGGAAGGAUCAUUAAUGAGUUGUCAUGGGGUUCGAUGCUGGCAGCCAGUCUUUGGAUGCAUGUGCUUGCCCUAACAAUCAUCUUCUUCCAAACACCUGUGCACAUUUUUGAGGGAGUCUUGAGUUGGUUGCCGCUCUUGGGUGAUUUUCUCACAUUCCCUUAAAUCAUUAUACGCUAUUAACAAUGUUGAACGUGCUCUGUGCCGCAAGGCCAUUAAUAUUAUACAACUUUUAACAACGGAUCUCUUGGCUCUC
This 272-nucleotide unclassified non-coding RNA is filed under the name plant metagenome. Its description in RNAcentral is "partial contains small subunit ribosomal RNA, internal transcribed spacer 1, and 5.8S ribosomal RNA". The record is from RNAcentral.